UCAUCGCUUGUUUAACAUUUUCCAGGGAUUCACCGACACAUUAUCUUCAGCGGUAUGGGCAUAGCAGGAGGCAUCUCUGCCAAUAAAGCAAUGGCUGAUUCUUACGCAGAACGGGAUGCCAUAAUGAGUCAUUAUAUGAGUCUUCACCCCACAGACUUCGAGGAAGCAGAGCGAAGGAAAUAUGCUGACGUUCUUGAAGCAUGGGUUCCUUGCCGAUAAAACAGUGUCUAGUGUGCAGACGUGUGGAGAACAAUCAUUGCUUUUAGAGGCCUCAAGACAUGCUGACCAUUUAUACCAAUAGAUCGCUAUUACAUGGGCUACUGCCAUAGCAUGCAACAGUAAAUGUUACUCAUGUGCAAUAAAGACAUGAUUACUUUACACAGAACUUACUCUUGAUCAUGCCACGGCUAUAAAAAGAAAGGCAAAACAGCAGUAAGGUUCAGUGACUUGGGUCUAAGGAACCCAGUGGUUAGUUCUGAUAUCAUAGUUGGGAUCACUGGUUCAGGUCAAGGUUGAUAAAGUGUUUCCCAAGACGGAGACAGGUCCAUGAAUAGGAUCUCAAUUCGUUUGUAAUGUGCAGGGGAAGUCGGCAUUUUGAAACGAAAAUAUAUAUCCAUGAAUUGGCCACUCAAAAAUUGAAACUAGAGCUUGGAUUUUUGUAUUCCCCAAGUAUCCAUUAGUGAUGCCUGGACCUUUUAUAAAUAUAAAAUGUAAAAAUCUCUGAUAGUACAUGCACCAUGUGGAUAUGCGUCAAACUUGUGUUGUUAAUAAAUUUUAAAUUGGCACGUGUAUCGUUA
Molecule: long non-coding RNA, 797 nt
Organism: Priapulus caudatus
Lineage: Eukaryota; Metazoa; Priapulida; Priapulimorpha; Priapulimorphida; Priapulidae
Exons: 2
Source: RefSeq, a predicted model, not a curated record